Molecule: long non-coding RNA, 4079 nt
Filed under: Cricetulus griseus (Chinese hamster)
Lineage: Eukaryota; Metazoa; Chordata; Mammalia; Rodentia; Cricetidae
Description: lncRNA (ENSCGRG00015030274.1)
Rfam family: mir-24 microRNA precursor family (bases 1985-2052)
Source: RNAcentral
CAGGAGGUCAAGGUUAUCUCUGGCUACCUAGGGAGUCUCAGGCCACCCCAUCUCAAAACAGUGUUCAACACUAAAAAUCCAGCAUCAAAGAUUUUUAUCUUGCAGAGGUGUGAGUGGAGAUGGAACUGAGAGAGAGGGAGAGGACUGGAUUCCGCUGCUUCUUUUGAGAAUGUAGGGUGGAAGGGACCUGGUGGGGAGUAGAGAGCUGUAGGCUACUGGAGGGCUCUUAAGCCAGAGAGCCCAGCACCCGCCUGGGAGGAGCAGAUUGCCUGUCAACUGCAGCUACAAGGGAAUCAGAGACCCUCUUCUGGCCUUCACCGCACACAGAGACAGAAACACACAUAAAAUAUAGUUUUUAAAAAUUCAUGCUGGGAGCCUGGUGGUAGUGGCACAUACCUUUAAUCCCAGCACUCUAGAGGCAGAGGCAGGUAGUUCAAGGUCAGCCUGGUCUACAAAUCGAGUUCCAGGACAGCCAGGGCUACACAAGAAACCCUGUCUUGAAAAACCAAGAAAAAAAAAAUUCAUGCCGGACAAGGCAGUGGUUGGGCAUGUCUUUAAUCACAAGCAGAGGCAGGCAGAUCUCUGAGUUCGAGACUAGGCUGGCCUCCCAAGGACUGGGAUUGCAGUCGUGCAGCACUACCCCUGACUCAUAAUCACACUCAGACAGAAAGCAGAGGCAGAGCAAGACUAUGGGCUGGGGCUGUAAUCCCACCGCUUGGAAGGUUGAGGGAGGAAGAUUGUCAGUUUUAGCACAACCUAAACUACAGCCUAAGUUCCAAGCCAGGUUAGGCUAUAGUAGGAGACCCUGUCUUUCAAAACAUGCCCUCCCUGGCCAGUGAAACAAAAACUCAAAUGGAACUGCAUGCUUUGAGAUCUGGGAACCCUACUUGGAGGGGGGUAGCAAGCACACCUGGCACACAAGUCAUUUAACUGGCGUUGGCCCUAACCUGGGGUCCCUCCCUGAACCUGGCAGAAGCCAAUGGAUGCGGAUCUGUUCCCAUUUUAGAGGUUAGGUGAGGCCGGGGGAAGGGGUGGGGGAUCAUUUUAAGUCCCUGGCUUAUGGGUUUGGCGGAUUCGGUGGGCCUGGUCCUCCUUGUCCCUGCUCCGGUUGUUGCCUGCCGGCUUGUUUUACCUCCCCCCGGAGCCAGCGACAGGAAGUGCACACGCGUGGGAGCGGCGGGGGCGUCCGCACUCAGUCCCCUUGUCCGGACCUAUCUCCCAGAUCCCUGGGACAGGGAUGCCCCCCCCCGCCCCGCUCCGGCCUCGGGACCCCAGUGCCGAGCCCCUCCCCUGCCAUUGUUUACUCCAUGGCAGACUCCAGGAAACUUUGCUCGCCCGCAGUAAUUUUAUUUGGGAAAGGCAGCCGGUUGCUAUAGCAACCGCACUGACGUAAGAGGGGCUGGGGCCCCGAAAUCCCCCGGAAGGGGGGGUCGAGGAGGGGAGACCCCGAGAAGGGUUCUCUUUAACCCUACGCGCUCCUGCGCCUAGCGGCCGCCGCACACAAACCUUACAUCUUCUGUCGCCUCCCCCUCCUUCCUUUGGCCGGGGCUGCAUGCCAGUCCCUGGUGCUGGUUUAGGCCUGGGGCCACUCCCGUGUCACCCACCCCGGGGGCCACUCCCGUGUCGCCCACCCCAUCGUCAGGGUGCUACACUCCGAUCCUGCUUGCUGUCCCCUCACUGUGCCUUGGCCGGCUGGGGUUCCUGGGGAUGGGAUUUGAUGCCAGUCACAAAUCACAUUGCCAGGGAUUUCCAACUGACCUUGUGCUCUGCCUUGGAGGCUCCAGUUGCCAAGGAUGACUGCCUAUCUUGGGUACUGGGUGAGAGAGAAGCCCAGCAUGACAACUGGCCUGAGGAGCAGGGCUUAGCUGCUUGUGAGCAAGGUCCGCAGCAAGUCGUGUUCACAGUGGCUAAGUUCCGCUCCCCCGGGCCCCAUCUCCUCAGACUCUGCUGCCCACCCUGCUCUGCCUCCUUCUCCCUGGGCUCCGCCUCCUGUGCCUACUGAGCUGAAACAGUUGAUUCCAGUGCACUGGCUCAGUUCAGCAGGAACAGGAGUCCAGCCCCCUAGGAGCUGGCACCCCUACAGAAUGUCUGUCAUGACUUGAGACCUGGAUGGAGUAGGGACCUGGGAGGAGUGGGCCCAUCAGUUGUGCCUAGGCCCAGCUAUCUGCUAUAGCCCUUCCUCUAACCUUCAUCUGGAUAUGCCACUCCACAUGGCCACACCUUGAGAUUUUUUAUGGUCCCCACAGAGAAGAGAUGGAUGAGUGGCUGACCCUUGCAUAAAAGGCAGGCCAGCUGUACCCCCUCAGGGCCUGCAGCCCUUCUUCUCAUAAGCCCAGCGGGGCCCAGGCACCACCCCUUACACCUUCCCUGCAGUCACUUACCCAAGAGGAAGCUGCUUUUGGCCCUCUGACAGUUAAAUGCCAACUCCCAGCUUCCGCAACAAAGCACUGACCUUACCCGGUGUGCUUGGUGCCCCACGAGGCCUGCAGCUUUCCACUGGAGACAGUGAUUCAGGGAGCAAGUCCACAGGGCCCUAAAAGGGUAGGAACAGAUCCACCCCUUCCCCUGGUACUGGGGCUUGCUGGAGUAGUCUCCAGGCUUGGAAGUUAAAAAGUUGCCUGUAUCUCCAAACCAGACAGGAUGCAGGCAUUGGCAUGGGGUUAAGUUACACUUCCCAGAUCACCCAGUGUCCCCUCCCAACCCUGGGUAGCGGCAAAUGGAGGCUUGGGUGGAAGAACAGAGAGGUGGAGCUUGUAUUGAAUGUUGUGCCUGUUUUCCAAUUAAAUAAAAGCUUCCCAGCUUCAUUCCUUAAGGUCUGAUGUUUCUUCAUUCCUGCCUCCCAUGUGGACUGUUGGCUUUUUUCUUUUCUCUUAUUUUGAGACAGUGUCUCUCUGUAGACCAGGCUGACCUGACUCAGCCCUCCCUCGGUGUCUGGAGUUUUGAGAUAUUGGUACACCCUUACACCCUACUCUGGCCCUGACCUCACCUAUCCCUAACCCUGCUGAGCAGGUGACAUUUGGGGGCAGCUUGGACCGGAGGCAUAACUCAGGCCUGGGGUGUGUGAGAGAAUUAAUGUGUAAAGGAACUUUGAUUGGAGGUGUGAUAUGGAGUCACGAAGCCUACUAGGACAUUAGUGGCUGGCAAACCUGUGCUGCACUCCAGUUCCAUGAGGGAAAUUGCUAACCCAAGAGCAAUGUCCUAGAUCCAAGAAAGUAUCUGCAUACGCCAGAAUGUACUGGCCAACAAGGUGCCAGGGAUUCAGGCACCUUAGGUACUGAGGGGCCUACUAGAAGUAGCCUCCGAUUGGCUCCCUUGAGCAAACGAGCACCAUCCGCCAAGUCAUGGCCAGCUCCCUUAGUGCCUGACCUCGCGCGCUGCUCCAGCGCCCCAUAGCGGCCAGCUCCCCUCGACCAUGACUGAGUGUGUUAAUGGAUAAAGGAUACAAAGAACCCGAGAAUGAGAAAACCAAGGCAACGUCCCCUGGAUGAAUCCAUCUGAGAACUGGGAGGCUCAUCCACAGCCCACAUGUGCAAUGGGCUCGCCACGGCGGGCCCAGGAGUUCCCUUCAGUUCCAGGCGUCCCCAGCUGCACUCGGUACCUGGCACGACCUCCCGAACUCGUUGUCUCGAGCCAGGCGCCCUCUGGUGGUCAUUUCUUGUGGUGUACGUGCAGCGCAAUCCUGGCAGUCAGGCUGUGUGCCCUUUGCUAGAGGCAUUAUAAAAGCCCGACUUUCAGGGAGUCUGUGACAUGCAGCAGAGCUGCCAGCAAGAAACUGCUCUUUUUUUUUUUUUUUUUUUUUUUUUUUUUUCAGACAGGGUUACUCUGUGGCUUUGGAGGCUAUCCUGGCACUCGCUCUUGUAGACCAGGGUGGUCUUGUAGACCAAGGUGGUCUCGAACUCACAGAGAUCCACCUGCUUCUGCCUCCCAAGUGCUGGGAUUAAAGGCGUGUGCCACCAACGCCUGGCAAGACUGUUCUUUGUGUCACCAAGAUGCUACUGGAGGAAGCCAGCAGCCCCUCCUAUCCCACUCUUGAAGCUGUGCCCAAAAACCAAAAUGGAAAUUGUUUUGGUUAAUCGAAC